UACGUAGGGGGCAAGCGUUGUCCGGAUUUAUUGGGCGUAAAGAGCGUGUAGGCGGCUAUACAGGUCCGUUGUGAAAACUGGAGGCUUAACCUCCAGACGUCGAUGGAAACCGUAUGGCUAGAGUCCGGAAGAGGAGAGUGGAAUUCCUGGUGUAGCGGUGAAAUGCGUAGAUAUCUGGAGGAACACCGGUGGCGAAGGCGGCAUCCUGGACCGGUAUUGACACUGAAAAGCGAAAGCCAGGGGAGCAAACGGG
This 253-nucleotide ribosomal RNA is filed under the name uncultured bacterium. RNAcentral describes it as "partial 16S ribosomal RNA". It matches the Rfam family "Bacterial small subunit ribosomal RNA", at positions 524 to 776 of the family's 1533-position model. The record is from RNAcentral.